GCGGGCGUGUCGGAACUGGUAGACGCAGCAGGUUUAGGUCCUGCCAUCGCAAGAUGUGGGGGUUCGAGUCCCUUCGCCCGUACCA
RNAcentral lists this transfer RNA (85 nucleotides) under Sphingomonas hengshuiensis. RNAcentral describes it as "tRNA-Leu". It matches the Rfam family "tRNA". From Rfam's summary of the family: Transfer RNA (tRNA) molecules are approximately 80 nucleotides in length. Their secondary structure includes four short double-helical elements and three loops (D, anti-codon, and T loops). The record is from RNAcentral. Lineage: Bacteria; Pseudomonadati; Pseudomonadota; Alphaproteobacteria; Sphingomonadales; Sphingomonadaceae.